GAUUCGGAAAGGAUUGACAGAUUGAUAGCUCUUUCUCGAUUCUGUGGGUGGUGGUGCAUGGCCGUUCUUAGUUGGUGGAGCGAUUUGUCUGGUUAAUUCCGAUAACGAACGAGACUCCUCCAUGCUAACUAGUUACGCGACCCCCGGCAAACUUCAUUUUUUAAAUUUUACUGAAUUCUCACGGUGCUCCGCCUUUUUUGUUCUCAGCAUUACUUUGAGGGUUUACUUGUAUAUUUAGGUGGACCUAUCUAAUAAGGCUUACUUAGUUUUAACAUUACCGUCUCCUUUAAGGUGGCGGUCAGGUGGGCCCCAAAUCCCAGCCUGAUACUGCUAACAU
RNAcentral lists this non-coding RNA (337 nucleotides) under Xenopus laevis (African clawed frog). RNAcentral describes it as "Eukaryotic small subunit ribosomal RNA". It matches the Rfam family "Eukaryotic small subunit ribosomal RNA", at positions 1227 to 1410 of the family's 1831-position model. Lineage: Eukaryota; Metazoa; Chordata; Amphibia; Anura; Pipidae. The record is from Rfam by way of RNAcentral.